RNAcentral lists this ribosomal RNA (1547 nucleotides) under Pseudomonas aeruginosa C0324C. RNAcentral's name for it is "bacterial LSU rRNA". It matches the Rfam family "Bacterial large subunit ribosomal RNA", at positions 1412 to 2925 of the family's 2925-position model. Lineage: Bacteria; Pseudomonadati; Pseudomonadota; Gammaproteobacteria; Pseudomonadales; Pseudomonadaceae. The record is from RNAcentral.
UAGUCGAUGGGAAACAGGUUAAUAUUCCUGUACUUCUGGUUACUGCGAUGGAGGGACGGAGAAGGCUAGGCCAGCUUGGCGUUGGUUGUCCAAGUUUAAGGUGUAGCUGAAAUCUUAGGUAAAUCCGGGGUUUCAAGGCCGAGAGCUGAUGACGAGUCGUCUUUUAGAUGACGAAGUGGUUGAUGCCAUGCUUCCAAGAAAAGCUUCUAAGCUUCAGGUAACCAGGAACCGUAACCCCAAACCGACCACAGGUGGUCGGGUAGAGAAUACCAAGGCGCUUGAGAGAACUCGGGUGAAGGAACUAGGCAAAAUGGCACCGUAACUUCGGGAGAAGGUGCGCCGGCUAGGGUGAAGGAUUUACUCCGUAAGCUCUGGCUGGUCGAAGAUACCAGGCCGCUGCGACUGUUUAUUAAAAACACAGCACUCUGCAAACACGAAAGUGGACGUAUAGGGUGUGACGCCUGCCCGGUGCCGGAAGGUUAAUUGAUGGGGUUAGCGCAAGCGAAGCUCUUGAUCGAAGCCCCGGUAAACGGCGGCCGUAACUAUAACGGUCCUAAGGUAGCGAAAUUCCUUGUCGGGUAAGUUCCGACCUGCACGAAUGGCGUAACGAUGGCGGCGCUGUCUCCACCCGAGACUCAGUGAAAUUGAAAUCGCUGUGAAGAUGCAGUGUAUCCGCGGCUAGACGGAAAGACCCCGUGAACCUUUACUGUAGCUUUGCACUGGACUUUGAGCCUGCUUGUGUAGGAUAGGUGGGAGGCUUUGAAGCGUGGACGCCAGUUCGCGUGGAGCCAUCCUUGAAAUACCACCCUGGCAUGCUUGAGGUUCUAACUCUGGUCCGUGAUCCGGAUCGAGGACAGUGUAUGGUGGGCAGUUUGACUGGGGCGGUCUCCUCCUAAAGAGUAACGGAGGAGUACGAAGGUGCGCUCAGACCGGUCGGAAAUCGGUCGCAGAGUAUAAAGGCAAAAGCGCGCUUGACUGCGAGACAGACACGUCGAGCAGGUACGAAAGUAGGUCUUAGUGAUCCGGUGGUUCUGUAUGGAAGGGCCAUCGCUCAACGGAUAAAAGGUACUCCGGGGAUAACAGGCUGAUACCGCCCAAGAGUUCAUAUCGACGGCGGUGUUUGGCACCUCGAUGUCGGCUCAUCACAUCCUGGGGCUGAAGCCGGUCCCAAGGGUAUGGCUGUUCGCCAUUUAAAGUGGUACGCGAGCUGGGUUUAGAACGUCGUGAGACAGUUCGGUCCCUAUCUGCCGUGGACGUUUGAGAUUUGAGAGGGGCUGCUCCUAGUACGAGAGGACCGGAGUGGACGAACCUCUGGUGUUCCGGUUGUCACGCCAGUGGCAUUGCCGGGUAGCUAUGUUCGGAAAAGAUAACCGCUGAAAGCAUCUAAGCGGGAAACUUGCCUCAAGAUGAGAUCUCACUGGGAACUUGAUUCCCCUGAAGGGCCGUCGAAGACUACGACGUUGAUAGGCUGGGUGUGUAAGCGUUGUGAGGCGUUGAGCUAACCAGUACUAAUUGCCCGUGAGGCUUGACCAUAUAACACCCAAACA